CUGCCCCCUACUCACCCAGGCCUGCCAUAUGCGCUCCAGCAGACAGGAAGCGGGGCAGGGGAGGACGCAUGAUAGAGCUGAGGGCCUUAUCUCCAAGCACGAGCUCUAUUGCUCUCACUGUGCCUGGGAUUAUUCACCGGAUAGUCGUCAGCAAGAAAAAUUACACCGAGCAGCUUCCAGUGGUAUGCAGCGACACAGGGAGUGAGGCUUGCGUUGGGCUGUGUAACCAUGUUCAAGUGGAUGAGGAGAGGGAGGAAGAGUGGUGCUAGUGUGCAAAGUCCAGGUUAAGCAGAAAUGAUUGGAUAGCUAAUUAGGGGACAGAUGGAUUGCAUGGAUGAACAUGAUUUCAGGAUGAUGCAUCAUCUGCACUUCUUUACAUCUUAAUUAUCAAGGAUCUCUCCUAGCAGGAUUAUGCCUUGGCAGUAAGGGACGUCUGGCACAUCCUGUCUGAUAAUCGUCUGUGUCGUGCAAUAUCCGGUUAUGUGGCGCUGAUGGUUUACCUGACAAUCUGGACAGAUAUGCUGG
Molecule: long non-coding RNA, 525 nt
Organism: Ictalurus punctatus (channel catfish)
Lineage: Eukaryota; Metazoa; Chordata; Actinopteri; Siluriformes; Ictaluridae
Source: Ensembl